CAAGUCGAGCGGACGGAUAAGGAGCUUGCUCCUUUGAAGUUAGCGGCGGACGGGUGAGUAACACGUGGGUAACCUACCUAUAAGACUGGAAUAACUUCGGGAAACCGGAGCUAAUGCCGGAUAACAUUUGGAACCGCAUGGUUCUAAAGUAAAAGAUGGUUUUGCUAUCACUUAUAGAUGGACCCGCGCCGUAUUAGCUAGUUGGUAAGGUAACGGCUUACCAAGGCAACGAUACGUAGCCGACCUGAGAGGGUGAUCGGCCACACUGGAACUGAGACACGGUCCAGACUCCUACGGGAGGCAGCAGUAGGGAAUCUUCCGCAAUGGACGAAAGUCUGACGGAGCAACGCCGCGUGAGUGAUGAAGGUUUUCGGAUCGUAAAACUCUGUUAUUAGGGAAGAACAAAUGCGUAAGUAACUGUGCGCAUCUUGACGGUACCUAAUCAGAAAGCCACGGCUAACUACGUGCCAGCAGCCGCGGUAAUACGUAGGUGGCAAGCGUUAUCCGGAAUUAUUGGGCGUAAAGCGCGCGUAGGCGGUUUCUUAAGUCUGAUGUGAAAGCCCACGGCUCAACCGUGGAGGGUCAUUGGAAACUGGGAAACUUGAGUACAGAAGAGGAAAGUGGAAUUCCAUGUGUAGCGGUGAAAUGCGCAGAGAUAUGGAGGAACACCAGUGGCGAAGGCGACUUUCUGGUCUGUAACUGACGCUGAUGUGCGAAAGCGUGGG
RNAcentral lists this ribosomal RNA (725 nucleotides) under Staphylococcus equorum. Its description in RNAcentral is "bacterial SSU rRNA". It matches the Rfam family "Bacterial small subunit ribosomal RNA", at positions 58 to 765 of the family's 1533-position model. Lineage: Bacteria; Bacillati; Bacillota; Bacilli; Caryophanales; Staphylococcaceae. The record is from RNAcentral.